AGAGUUUGAUCCUGGCUCAGGACGAACGCUGGCGGCGUGCCUAAUACAUGCAAGUCGAACGAACCGCGACGAGAACUUGUUCUGGUCAAGGUUAGUGGCGCACGGGUGAGUAACACGUGGGGAACCUGCCCUUUAGUGGGGGAUAACAGUCGGAAACGACUGCUAAUACCGCAUAGACAACUUAACCGCCUGGUUAAGUUGGGAAAGGUGCUACGGCAUCAUUAAAGGAUGGCCCCGCGGUGCAUUAGCUAGUUGGUAAGGUAACGGCUUACCAAGGCGAUGAUGCAUAGCCGACCUGAGAGGGUGAUCGGCCACAUUGGGACUGAGACACGGCCCAAACUCCUACGGGAGGCAGCAGUAGGGAAUCUUCCGCAAUGGACGCAAGUCUGACGGAGCAACGCCGCGUGUGUGAAGAAGGUUUUCGGAUCGUAAAGCACUGUUGUUAGAGAAGAACGGCUACUAGAGGAAAUGCUAGUAGAUUGACGGUAUCUAACCAGAAAGCCACGGCUAACUACGUGCCAGCAGCCGCGGUAAUACGUAGGUGGCAAGCGUUGUCCGGAUUUAUUGGGCGUAAAGGGAGCGCAGGUGGUUUCUUAAGUCUGAUGUGAAAGCCCACGGCUUAACCGUGGAGGGUCAUUGGAAACUGGGAAACUUGAGUGCAGAAGAGGAAAGCGGAAUUCCAUGUGUAGCGGUGAAAUGCGUAGAUAUAUGGAGGAACACCAGUGGCGAAAGCGGC
This 736-nucleotide ribosomal RNA is filed under the name uncultured Globicatella sp. RNAcentral's name for it is "bacterial SSU rRNA". It matches the Rfam family "Bacterial small subunit ribosomal RNA", at positions 8 to 725 of the family's 1533-position model. The record is from RNAcentral. Lineage: Bacteria; Bacillati; Bacillota; Bacilli; Lactobacillales; Aerococcaceae.